UACCAGCUCUCCGAGUGGUAGGGAUGAUUAUUGGGCUUAAAGCGUCCGUAGCCGGCUUAGCAAGUCUCCUGUUAAAUUCAGUGACCUAAUCGUUGAGCCGCGGGAGAUACUACUAGGCUAGGAGGCGGGAGAGGUCGACGGUACUUCUGGGGUAGGGGUGAAAUCCUAUAAUCCCGGGAGGACCACCAGUGGCGAAGGCUGUCGACUAGAACGCGCUCGACGGUGAGGGACGAAAGCUGGGGGAGCGAACCGGAUUAGAUACCCGGGUAGUCCCAGCUGUAAACGAUACGGGCUAGGUGUUGGGGUGGCUACGUGCCACUUCAGUGCCGCAGGGAAGCCAUUAAGCCCGCCGCCUGGGGAGUACGGCCGCAAGGCUGAAACUUAAAGGAAUUGGCGGGGGAGCGACCACAAGGCGUGAAGCUUGCGGUUC
Molecule: ribosomal RNA, 430 nt
Filed under: uncultured archaeon
Lineage: Archaea
Description: bacterial SSU rRNA
Rfam family: Archaeal small subunit ribosomal RNA
Source: RNAcentral